Molecule: ribosomal RNA, 445 nt
Filed under: uncultured bacterium
Lineage: Bacteria
Description: bacterial SSU rRNA
Rfam family: Bacterial small subunit ribosomal RNA
Source: RNAcentral
CGCCAGACUCCUCGGGAGGCAGCAGUGGGGAAUAUUGCACAAUGGGGGAAACCCUGAUGCAGCGACGCCGCGUGAGUGAAGAAGUAUUUCGGUAUGUAAAGCCCUAUCAGCAGGGAAGAAAAUGACGGUACCUGACUAAGAAGCCCCGGCUAACUACGUGCCAGCAGCCGCGGUAAUACGUAGGGGGCAAGCGUUAUCCGGAUUUACUGGGUGUAAAGGGAGCGUAGACGGCAUGGCAAGUCAGAUGUGAAAGCCCGGGGCUCAACCCCGGGACUGCAUUUGAAACUGUCAGGCUGGAGUGCAGGAGAGGUAAGUGGAAUUCCUAGUGUAGCGGUGAAAUGCGUAGAUAUUAGGAGGAACACCAGUGGCGAAGGCGGCUUACUGGACUGUAACUGACGUUGAGGCUCGAAAGCGUGGGGAGCAAACAGGAUUAGAUACCCGUGUA